AGGAUAAACGCUGGCGGCGUGCAUGAGACAUGCAAGUCGAACGGACGAUCAGGGCUUGCUCUGAUCGUUAGUGGCGGACGGCUGAGUAACGCGUAGGUGACCUGUCCCGAAGUGGGGAAUAACUGCCCGAAAGGGUGGCUAAUACCGCAUGUGGUGGUGUGUUCAUUCACACCAGUAAAGCCGCAAGGCGCUUCGGGAGGGGCCUGCGUCCGAUUAGCUCGUUGGUGGGGUAACGGCUCACCAAGGCGACGAUCGGUAGGUGGUCUGAGAGGACGAUCACCCAGACUGGGACUGAGACACGGCCCAGACUCCUACGGGAGGCAGCAGUCGGGAAUUUUGCGCAAUGGACGAAAGUCUGACGCAGCAACGCCGCGUGAGGGAUGACGGCCUUCGGGUUGUAAACCGUCUUUUAUCAGGGAAGAUAAUGACGGUACCUGAUGAAUAAGUCACGGCUAACUACGUGCCAGCAGCCGC
Molecule: ribosomal RNA, 474 nt
Filed under: uncultured bacterium
Lineage: Bacteria
Description: SSU rRNA
Rfam family: Bacterial small subunit ribosomal RNA
Source: RNAcentral